GAUUAACGCUAGCGGCAGGCCUAAUACAUGCAAGUCGAACGGCAGCACGGGUAGCAAUACCUGGUGGCGAGUGGCGCACGGGUGCGUAACGCGUAUGCAACCUACCUAUAACUGGGGAAUAGCCUUCUGAAAGGAAGAUUAACACCGCAUAAUAUCACGAGCCGGCAUCGCCUUGUGAUCAAAUCUCCGGAGGUUAUAGAUGGGCAUGCGUGACAUUAGCUAGUUGGCGAGGUAACGGCCCACCAAGGCUACGAUGUCUAGGGGGUCUGAGAGGAUGAUCCCCCACACUGGUACUGAGACACGGACCAGACUCCUACGGGAGGCAGCAGUAAGGAAUAUUGGACAAUGGGCGCAAGCCUGAUCCAGCCAUGCCGCGUGAAGGAUGACGGCCCUCUGGGUUGUAAACUUCUUUUAUACGGGAAUAAACCCCUCGAUUCUUCGAGGGCUGAAUGUACUGUAAGAAUAAGGAUCGGCUAACUUCGUGCCAGCAGCCGCAGUAA
Molecule: ribosomal RNA, 500 nt
Filed under: uncultured bacterium
Lineage: Bacteria
Description: partial 16S ribosomal RNA
Rfam family: Bacterial small subunit ribosomal RNA
Source: RNAcentral